This 1054-nucleotide long non-coding RNA is filed under the name Monodelphis domestica (gray short-tailed opossum). RNAcentral's name for it is "lncRNA (ENSMODG00000040624.1)". Lineage: Eukaryota; Metazoa; Chordata; Mammalia; Didelphimorphia; Didelphidae. The record is from RNAcentral.
UUGCCCAGCAAAAUUCGUCAAACUGAUUCAGCUCUUUCAUGUCGACAUGACAGGGGAAGUCCUAUCUGGUGGAGAGACUUCUGAUCGCUUCAACAUCUCCAAUGGCAUGAAACAAGGCUGUGUCCUCGCUCUGGUACUAUACAACUUAUUCUUCACCCAAGUAUUACAACAUGCUGUGAUGGAUCUAAAUCUGGGUGUCUAUAUCAAAUACCGACUGGAUGGCUCACUAUUCGACCUUCGCCACCUGACUGCAAAAACAAAGACAACAGAGAGACUCAUCCUGGAAGCUCUCUUUGCAGAUGACUGUGCUCUCAUGGCCCACCAAGAAAAUCAUCUCCAAACCAUUGUGGACAGGUUCUCCACCGCAACAAAACUGUUUGGCCUGACUAUCAGCCUCAGCAAAACAGAGGUGCUGUUCCAACCCGCACUAGGGAGGCCAACUAACCAGCCAUACAUUACAAUCGACGGCACGCAGCUUUCUAACGUCAACACUUUCAAGUACCUGGGCAGCACCAUCGCCAACGACGGGUCCCUAGACCACGAGAUUAAUGCCAGGAUCCAAAAGGCCAGCCAGGCAUUCGGGCGGCUGCACUGCAAAGUCCUCCAACACAGUGGUGUAAGCACUGUGACGAAGCUCAAAGUGUAUAACGCAGGGGUCCUCAGCUCGCUCCUGUACGGUUGUGAGACAUGGACACUGUACCGGAAGCACAUGAAACAGCUGGAGCAAUUCCACCAAUGCUCCCUCCGGUCAAUCAUGAGGAUCCGAUGGCAGGACCGAAUCACCAACCAGGAAGUCCUCGACAGAGCCAACUCCACCAGCAUUGCAGUCCUGGUCCUCAAAGCCCAGCUACGAUGGUCUGGACACGUCAUCCGCAUGGACCCACAGCGAAUACCAAGACAGGUAUUCUAUGGUGAACUGUCAGCUGGACUCAGGAAACAAGGCCGACCAAAGAGAAGAUUCAAGGAUCAGCUAAAGUCCAACUUGAAGUGGGCUGGCAUUACACCAAAGCAACUAGAACUCGCUGCCUUUGACAGAAGCAGCUGGCGAACCCAC